ACGGAUAUGAUGAAAUUGGCAGACAUGCUAGGUUUAGGUUCUAGUGAGGAAACUCUUGAGGGUUCAAGUCCCUCUAUCCGUA
This 82-nucleotide transfer RNA is filed under the name Telonemida sp. RNAcentral's name for it is "tRNA-Leu". It matches the Rfam family "tRNA". Rfam says of the family: Transfer RNA (tRNA) molecules are approximately 80 nucleotides in length. Their secondary structure includes four short double-helical elements and three loops (D, anti-codon, and T loops). Lineage: Eukaryota; Telonemia; Telonemida. The record is from RNAcentral.